RNAcentral lists this ribosomal RNA (253 nucleotides) under uncultured bacterium. RNAcentral describes it as "partial 16S ribosomal RNA". It matches the Rfam family "Bacterial small subunit ribosomal RNA", at positions 524 to 776 of the family's 1533-position model. The record is from RNAcentral.
UACGUAGGGUGCAAGCGUUGUCCGGAAUUAUUGGGCGUAAAGAGCUCGUAGGCGGUUUGUCGCGUCUGCUCUGAAAGCCCGGGGCUCAACCCCGGGAGGCGGGUGGAUACUGUCAAGCUCGAGUCCGGAAGAGGCGAGUGGAAUUCCUGGUGUAGCGGUGAAAUGCGCAGAUAUCAGGAGGAACACCAAUGGCGAAGGCAGCUCGCUGGGACGUGACUGACGCUGAGACGCGAAAGCGUGGGGAGCAAACAGG